CCUGGUGCAUACUUCUUGGGAAGACUCAUGUCUUUAUUUCAUUCUGGUAAAUUCUGAGCUAUUUGGUCUUUCACGAAGUCCUGCCUCACUGCUGAGUCCUUUUCCACAUGCCGUGGAAUUCUUCUCAGGUUCUCUGGGAGCUGUACGAGGACGAGAAGAAAAGCAAAGCACAGACCUUUGUAUUUCAAGAAGCUUUCCUGUCAUGGCAUUUGAAAUAAAGCCUGGAACACAGCACAGAUGCAACAGGAGCCUAUUGUCCUGGUUCCAGGAGCUAUGCAGGCCCGCCUUAUUGAG
This 294-nucleotide long non-coding RNA is filed under the name Mustela putorius furo (domestic ferret). Its description in RNAcentral is "lncRNA (ENSMPUG00000031131.1)". Lineage: Eukaryota; Metazoa; Chordata; Mammalia; Carnivora; Mustelidae. The record is from RNAcentral.